UUAAGCAUCUUUACUCCCAUUUUGCAGAUCUGCACAAUGACAGUGCAGAUGAGAGCAGCUCAUGAAGCCAGCUCAGCAGGAAGAGCAGGGCAUAUGCUAUCAGGACUGAUGUGUCUGCCUGGCAAGUGCAGAGUGGAGCGGAGUUGAUUACGGACAGGAAGGAGGGCAGCUGAAGAGUAUCUGCCUAAACAGAGAACAUCUGUGAGCCAGCUUUGACAUCCUGUGCCUUAUGACCAUCUCCCGAGGACCAGCUGGAAAAGACACACUUUGAGAAGUAGCCCUCUCGAUUCUCCAAAAGCAACUUCGUGACCAGUUUUGAAAUGAAUGGAAAACAUGAUCUUCCUUCAGAUCAGCUUCUUCCAAGCCAGUGUUUAUUUCAUAUUUCUGAAGUUUUCUGGCUUAGUUUCCCUUGAAAGUCAACAUUCUUGGUCUCUUCCCCCUGUCCCAGCAUGUUUAAACUGAGAUGGCGCUCUUUCUUGUUUCCUUAGAGCUCUUGCCAAGUCACUGGGCAUAAGUCUUCUGUUCAUCUCCUGAGAGUUUUCAAUAAAACAUGUCUUGAGUCUC
Molecule: non-coding RNA, 564 nt
Organism: Odocoileus virginianus texanus
Lineage: Eukaryota; Metazoa; Chordata; Mammalia; Artiodactyla; Cervidae
Source: RefSeq, a predicted model, not a curated record